Molecule: ribosomal RNA, 813 nt
Filed under: uncultured Pseudomonadota bacterium
Lineage: Bacteria; Pseudomonadati; Pseudomonadota
Description: bacterial SSU rRNA
Rfam family: Bacterial small subunit ribosomal RNA
Source: RNAcentral
GGGGGCAACUCCUCCAGUCGAGCGGCGGACGGGUGAGUAACACGUGGGCAAUCUGCCCGAAAGUGGGGAAUACCCCAGGGAAACUUGGGCUAAUACCGCAUGUGAUCGCGACCUCGAAGGGGGAUGCGAUCAAAGGGGGGUCGCAAGACCUCCCGCUUUCGGAGGAGCCCGCGCCCGAUUAGCUAGUUGGUGAGGUAACGGCUCACCAAGGCUUCGAUCGGUAGCCGGCCUGAGAGGGUGAUCGGCCACACCGGAACUGAGACACGGUCCGGACUCCUACGGGAGGCAGCAGUGGGGAAUCUUGCGCAAUGGGCGAAAGCCUGACGCAGCAACGCCGCGUGAAGGAUGAAGGUCCUUGGAUUGUAAACUUCUGUCGGCCGGGAAGAAAUUCAUCGGGGUUAAUACCCCCGGUGAUUGACUGUACCGGCAAAGGAAGCCCCGGCUAACUCUGUGCCAGCAGCCGCGGUAAUACAGAGGGGGCAAGCGUUAUUCGGAAUUAUUGGGCGUAAAGGGCGCGUAGGCGGUUCUUCAAGUCUCUCGUGAAAUCCCUCGGCUUAACUGAGGACGUGCGGGAGAUACUGAAGGGCUUGAGUCCGGAAGAGGGUGGUGGAAUUCCCAGUGUAGGGGUGAAAUGCGUAGAUAUUGGGAGGAACACCGGUGGCGAAGGCGGCCACCUGGGCCGGAACUGACGCUGAGGCGCGAAAGCGUGGGGAGCAAACGGGAUUAGAUACCCCGGUAGUCCACGCCGUAAACGAUGGGCACUUGGUGUCGCGGGUAUCGACCCCUGCGGUGCCGAAGCUAACGCAUUAAGUG